GAUGAACGCUGGCGGCGUGCCUAAUACAUGCAAGUCGAGCGAACAGACGAGGAGCUUGCUCCUCUGACGUUAGCGGCGGACGGGUGAGUAACACGUGGAUAACCUACCUAUAAGACUGGGAUAACUUCGGGAAACCGGAGCUAAUACCGGAUAAUAUAUUGAACCGCAUGGUUCAAUAGUGAAAGACGGUUUUGCUGUCACUUAUAGAUGGAUCCGCGCCGCAUUAGCUAGUUGGUAAGGUAACGGCUUACCAAGGCAACGAUGCGUAGCCGACCUGAGAGGGUGAUCGGCCACACUGGAACUGAGACACGGUCCAGAUUCCUACGGGAGGCAGCAGUAGGGAAUCUUCCGCAAUGGGCGAAAGCUUGACGGAGCAACGCCGCGUGAGUGAUGAAGGUCUUCGGAUCGUAAAACUCUGUUAUUAGGGAAGAACAAAUGUGUAAGUAACUAUGCACGUCUUGACGGUACCUAAUCAGAAAGCCACGGCUAACUACGUG
This 497-nucleotide ribosomal RNA is filed under the name uncultured bacterium. RNAcentral describes it as "partial 16S ribosomal RNA". It matches the Rfam family "Bacterial small subunit ribosomal RNA", at positions 28 to 507 of the family's 1533-position model. The record is from RNAcentral.